RNAcentral lists this unclassified non-coding RNA (747 nucleotides) under Hevea brasiliensis (rubber tree). Lineage: Eukaryota; Viridiplantae; Streptophyta; Magnoliopsida; Malpighiales; Euphorbiaceae. The record is from RNAcentral.
CAAUGAUUGAAGCAAUGACUCCUGGUAUCUUCUCUCUGCUAUUUGUAAAAACCACAUUUGAUUAUAAAACAUAACUGAAACAAGUUGGAAAUUUGUUUAAUGACAGAGUAACAAUGAGAUAGUAGGAAACUGGUGAUAUUAAUAUUUAUUGUAUGUGUAUUGAAUGGUUUACAUCAAUCUCAUAUAUCCAUUAAGAGUUAAAUAUGGUUUAAUGCUUUUUCUUAUCAGGGUAUUAUGGUCUAUUGGAAAAUUAGUUAAUAACUGAGAGAACAUAUAAUUGCCCUUUUCUCACCUGGUAUGCAUUUAGGCAGUCUAAUGUUCCUAUUGAAUUCCAUAUGAGGGAAAGGACAAUACUAUACAGAGCAUGGAAGGUAGUUAAAACCAACAGUAAUUCUACACCAUACAGGUUGUCAGUUGUCUUGUCAGAUGCCAUAUUCUUCCUUUUGUACAUUGGUAAAUUGACAUAUCUUCUUCUCCAAGAACGUGUAUUAGUAAUGUCAUAUAGCAACUCAUUUUGUGCCACGGAUGUUAAACACAUUGCAAGUAACCAAAAUCUGUUUUGGGAGAUGGAAUACUUUCUUUAAUGUAACUGUCUAUCUACGUGGUCCAUUAUAAAUCCCUUUUUAUCAGAGACACAGGGUGUAUUUUGCUUAUUUCUAAGUGAGAUAGUGUUCUUUUGUUUAUUACUCAAACAUCUGAUACUUGGAAAGCUUUCUAAUUUGGUGUUUAUUUACAGAGGAAAGAGAG